GAUGCCUUGGCACUAGGAGCCGAUGAAGGACGGGACUAACACCGAUAUGCUUCGGGGAGCUGUAAGUAAGCUUUGAUCCGGAGAUUUCCGAAUGGGGGAACCCAGCAUCUUUUGUAGGAUGUUACCUUUAAGUAAAUUCAUAGCUUAUUGGAGGUAGACGCAGAGAACUGAAACAUCUAAGUACCUGCAGGAAGAGAAAGAAAAUUCGAUUCCCUGAGUAGCGGCGAGCGAAACGGGAACAGCCCAAACCAACAAGCUUGCUUGUUGGGGUUGUAGGACACUCUAUACGGAGUUACAAAAGAACAUGUUAGACGAAUCAUCUGGAAAGAUGAAUCAAAGAAGGUAAUAAUCCUGUAGUCGAAAACAUAUUCUCUCUUGAGUGGAUCCUGAGUACGACGGAGCACGUGAAAUUCCGUCGGAAUCUGGGAGGACCAUCUCCUAAGGCUAAAUACUCUCUAGUGACCGAUAGUGAACCAGUACCGUGAGGGAAAGGUGAAAAGUACCCCGGAAGGGGAGUGAAAGAGAACUUGAAACCGUGUGCUUACAAGUAGUCAGAGCCCGUUAAUGGGUGAUGGCGUGCCUUUUGUAGAAUGAACCGGCGAGUUACGAUCUGAUGCAAGGUUAAGCAGCAAAUGUGGAGCCGCAGCGAAAGCGAGUCUGAAUAGGGCGACUAAGUAUGUUGAUGUAGACCCGAAACCAAGUGACCUACCCAUGACCAGGUUGAAGGCGUGGUAAAACACGCUGGAGGACCGAACCCACGCAAGUUGAAAAUUGCGGGGAUGAGUUGUGGGUAGCGGUGAAAUUCCAAACGAACUUGGAGAUAGCUGGUUCUCUCCGAAAUAGCUUUAGGGCUAGCCUCGUUGUGAGUUUACUGGAGGUAGAGCACUGUUUGGACUAGGGGCCCGUCUUGGGUUACUGAAUUCAGAUAAACUCCGAAUACCAUUGAUCUAUACCCGGGAGUCAGACGAUGAGUGAUAAGAUCCACCGUCGAAAGGGAAACAGCCCAGAUCACCAGUUAAGGUCCCAAAAUUCAUGCUAAGUGGAAAAGGAUGUGGAAAUGCAUAGACAACUAGGAUGUUGGCUUAGAAGCAGCCAUUCAUUCAAAGAGUGCGUAAUAGCUCACUAGUCGAGUGAUUCUGCGCCGAAAAUGUACCGGGGCUAAGCAUGAUACCGAAACUGUGGAUGCAUCGUAAGAUGUGUGGUAGGAGAGCGUUGUAAGAGCAUUGAAGCUGUACCGUGAGGAGCAGUGGAGUUCUUAGAAGUGAGAAUGCCGGUAUGAGUAACGAAAGACCAGUGAGAAUCUGGUCGGCCGCAAGACUAAGGUUUCCUGGGGAAGGCUCGUCCUCCCAGGGUUAGUCGGGGCCUAAGAUGAGACCGAGAGGUGUAAUCGAUGGAUAACAGGUUGAUAUUCCUGUACUAGUUUAUUUUGUUUGAACGAUGGAAGGACGCAGGAGGAUGAUGUGUGCGCGCUGAUGGAUAUGCGCGUCCAAGCAGUAAGUCUUGAUAUGAGUCAAAUGCUUAUAUCUUUAAGGACAAGCUGUGAUGGGGAGUGAAAUUUUAGUAACGAAGCACAAUAACUCACACUGCCAAGAAAAGUUCCUAGUUAGAAAUAAACUACCCGUACCGCAAACCGACACAGGUAGUCGAGGAGAGUAUCCUAAGGUCAGCGAGUGAACUCUCGUUAAGGAACUCGGCAAAAUGACCCCGUAACUUCGGGAGAAGGGGUGCUGGUGUAACAGCCAGCCGCAGUGAAUAGGCCCAAACAACUGUUUAUCAAAAACACAGGUCUAUGCUAAAUCGUAAGAUGACGUAUAUGGGCUGACGCCUGCCCGGUGCUGGAAGGUUAAGAGGAUCAGUUAGCUUUUGCGAAGCUGAGAAUUGAAGCCCCAGUAAACGGCGGCCGUAACUAUAACGGUCCUAAGGUAGCGAAAUUCCUUGUCGGGUAAGUUCCGACCCGCACGAAAGGCGUAAUGAUUUGGG
This 1980-nucleotide ribosomal RNA is filed under the name Loxechinus albus. Its description in RNAcentral is "bacterial LSU rRNA". It matches the Rfam family "Bacterial large subunit ribosomal RNA", at positions 27 to 2013 of the family's 2925-position model. Lineage: Eukaryota; Metazoa; Echinodermata; Echinoidea; Camarodonta; Echinidae. The record is from RNAcentral.